Molecule: long non-coding RNA, 574 nt
Organism: Tupaia belangeri chinensis (Chinese tree shrew)
Lineage: Eukaryota; Metazoa; Chordata; Mammalia; Scandentia; Tupaiidae
Exons: 3
Source: RefSeq, a predicted model, not a curated record
GGAUUCCUGGCCCAGCACGGGAACGUCAGCCUGAGAAUUUUUGUAGCCCGACUCUACAACCAUGAAGACCCAGAAAAUCGCCAGGGGCUGAGGACCCUGAACAGCACUGGGACCCCCAUCAGGGUCAUGACUAACAGGGAGUUUGCCCUGUGCUGGGAGCGCUUCGUGAGGCACCAGGGAGCAGCCUUUGAGCCCUGGGCAGGUCUGCGUGAAAAUGCGGACCUGCUUCUGGGACAGCUGGAGGACAUCCUGGGGGUCUGAGGCCUUUGGCUCCUACCCUGGAGGCUCUGUCCCUAAGAAGAGCAGGUGUGAGUCCUCUCCCCCAGCCUUUCUCCAGGUGCUGCCUGCUGCCGAGUCAUGACCAUUCAAGGCAGAGGAGCAGUCGCCCUCUGAGCCCAGUGCAUCUAGCUCCACAUGAGCAUCAGGCUGUCUCUGCGUCUUUGCCAUCUUAGAGAAGUCACUUCGUCCUCUGCCCACUUGUGCUCAUGCUCUGCUGUCCUGGAGAGGCUGCCCUGGUCCUUCACUGACAUCCAGCCCAGUGUAUCUUUUUAUUAAAUGUUUUUAUAAAAAUUCA